Cololabis saira (Pacific saury) is the source of this 867-nucleotide long non-coding RNA. RefSeq lists it as uncharacterized. NCBI's taxonomy places the organism in Eukaryota, Metazoa, Chordata, Actinopteri, Beloniformes, Belonidae. The transcript is spliced from 3 exons. The record is from RefSeq and is a predicted model, not a curated record.
GUUCAGAUCGAGACUUCUCGUUUUUUUCCGGCAGCGUGCUGUUUUCUCCUUUUCUCAAGAUGGAUGACGACCGGAGUGUACACAUAACAAUCCAGAAAGGAAGGGCCUUGCCCCAACUUCACAGAUGCACAUCAUGCUGCAAUAACUAGCACUGUCCAUUCUGCAGCCCUACAGUUUACUACCCCUCCCCGUUGAACAAAUGUCAGAUACACAUGGAUCUUCAUUUUAACAGAGCUGUUAGCCAUGAAGAAUACACCAUUCACAGAUGUGGACUGGGAUGUCGGCCGCAGCUGCAUUAUCACUGUCCAUACUGCAGUUCAACAAUAAAACGGAAAGACGAUUUUAUUAAACAUAUACAUUGGUGCAAGAAGAAACCAGGUUCCAACCCUACAGUCCCACCAACCACCAACACCCCCCUGUCACCAACCACCACCACCACCCCCCAGGCACCAUCCACCACCACCCCCCUGGCACCAACCACCACCAUCACCUCCCUGGUGUUGAUUGUGAUUUGUAUUGAGUGUUUUUUCAGCUGUUUUUUUUUCUCUGCAGAUCUCCUUAAUGUGGGAUGUGACUGCACCUGCACUGAAUAUAUAUUAUAUACUGUACAUUUCAUCAAGAUGAGACAAUUGUUUACCCCAAGUUAUAUUGUUAAAUAAAUGUUAUAUUGUUCUGUUUGGGAAUUUUGGACUUAAUACUACCAUACUUACCAUUUCAGUAUAUCAAAGUGUUUUUAUUUCUUUAUUUCUUUUUUUAACAAUUACUACAACAAAAGUGAGGACUUGACACCCAAAUACACUAUGUUGUAGUGGGUUUGAUCAAUGCUGUUCAAGUUUUGGGGGUAAUAUAUCCCACUAAACGCCACAU